Molecule: unclassified non-coding RNA, 789 nt
Filed under: Bradyrhizobium sp.
Lineage: Bacteria; Pseudomonadati; Pseudomonadota; Alphaproteobacteria; Hyphomicrobiales; Nitrobacteraceae
Description: partial may contain 16S ribosomal RNA, 16S-23S ribosomal RNA intergenic spacer, and 23S ribosomal RNA
Rfam family: tRNA (bases 148-221)
Source: RNAcentral
UUUUAGAAACAUCAGUGGCCAACAGAUCGCCAGAUCGUUGAGCUGCAUUGGCGGGAUUUCGCCGUCUUCGUUUCUCUUUCUUCGCGGACGAACACGCGCUGGGCCUGCAACGGCAGGAUCCAGGGUCCUUAACGGGAUGUGCGUUAGGGGCUUGUAGCUCAGUUGGUUAGAGCGCGCGCUUGAUAAGCGUGAGGUCGGAAGUUCAAGUCUUCCCAGGCCCACCACUUUCAUCGAGUGAGCAUUCGUCUUCUGGUUACGGGGCCAUAGCUCAGCUGGGAGAGCGCGUGCUUUGCAAGCAUGAGGUCGUCGGUUCGAUCCCGUCUGGCUCCACCAGAUGGUUUGAUCACCGAGAUCUUGACCGUCGUCCGCGAAACAUCACUUCGCAUCCUGCUAGUCUGGAUAGACAGCAGUUUGCGUGUUUUCUGACAUCGUAAAGAGGAGAUCGAUCCGAGUUGGGUCGUGCAGCAUAUCGUUGCGCGAGCCUUCAUUAUCUCCGGAUCAUUUCGGCGCUCGCUUCCAGCCGUGAGGUUGGAUGCGGGUUGUAAAUGAUCCUUUUAGCGAAGCUUGACCGCCUCGCUAUCGGAACGAUCUUACGAAGCAAGCUGGUCUUUCUAGUCAAUGUCCGGCUGCGGAUAGCGUUCAUCGAGGGCGCGUGCCGCAAGGCAAUUCUGCAGACAACAUUCUGCCGAGUGUGUGGACAUUGAUAAUGAGAGCAAUCAAGUGCCUUAAGGGUGUUCGGUGGAUGCCUUGGCGCUGAGAGGCGAUGAAGGACGUGCUACGCUGCGAUAA